RNAcentral lists this ribosomal RNA (534 nucleotides) under uncultured bacterium. RNAcentral's name for it is "bacterial SSU rRNA". It matches the Rfam family "Bacterial small subunit ribosomal RNA", at positions 777 to 1314 of the family's 1533-position model. The record is from RNAcentral.
AAUAGAUACCCGGGUAGUCCACGCCCUAAACGAUGUCAACUGGUUGUUGGGGAUUUACUUCCUCAGUAACGAAGCUAACGCGUGAAGUUGACCGCCUGGGGAGUACGGCCGCAAGGUUAAAACUCAAAGGAAUUGACGGGGACCCGCACAAGCGGUGGAUGAUGUGGUUUAAUUCGAUGCAACGCGAAAAACCUUACCCACCUUUGACAUGGUCGGAAUCCUGCAGAGACGCAGGAGUGCUCGCAAGAGAGCCGACACACAGGUGCUGCAUGGCUGUCGUCAGCUCGUGUCGUGAGAUGUUGGGUUAAGUCCCGCAACGAGCGCAACCCUUGCCAUCAGUUGCUACGAAAGGGCACUCUGAUGGGACUGCCGGUGACAAACCGGAGGAAGGUGGGGAUGACGUCAAGUCCUCAUGGCCCUUAUAGGUGGGGCUACACACGUCAUACAAUGGCUGGUACAAAGGGUUGCCAACCCGGCGAGGGGGGAGCCAAUCCCACAAAGCCAGUCGUAGUCCGGAUUGCAGGCUGCAACUCG